Molecule: ribosomal RNA, 253 nt
Filed under: uncultured bacterium
Lineage: Bacteria
Description: partial 16S ribosomal RNA
Rfam family: Bacterial small subunit ribosomal RNA
Source: RNAcentral
GACAGAGGGGGCAAGCGUUGCUCGGAAUCACUGGGCGUAAAGGGCGCGUAGGCGGGAUGGCAAGUCGGUCGUGAAAUCCUUCGGCCCAACCGAAGAACGUCGGCCGAUACUGCCGUUCUUGAGGGAUGCAGAGGAGACUGGAAUUCCCGGUGUAGCGGUGAAAUGUGUAGAGAUCGGGAGGAACACCGGUGGCGAAGGCGGGUCUCUGGGCAUUUCCUGACGCUGAGGCGCGAAAGCGUGGGGAGCAAACGGG